UGCGCGAGCCGUUGUGGCGUGUUUGUCUAAUCGUGUGGUUUUGUGUUUGGUGUAACGAAAUGUGACUUGGUUCGCGAACACAGAAGUGCCAGAAGAUAGCUUGUGUCUCUCUGAAACUCGCCAUAUGCGUGGCGUGCCAGGCAAAUGGGGACCAACGAUUUCCAUGCCCUGGAGUGCGUUCUCUUUUGUGUCUGGUUGCGGGAAGUUCGCUGGACGUCGCAAAGAAAUAAUGUGUAUUAUUAGCGUGCCUCAGCUCGUCCACUACGUAACGGCGUGUAGACUGGGAGUCGACGCAGCACCGGUAACUUGGAGAGCGCUUUUCGACCGCGUCGUACCAUUAAAAAGUGGCGAGGCCGUAACCCACACCAGUGUCCACAUAAUGGAGGAGCCAGCAGAAAUGCAGGGAAACCUUGAAUGACUGCCAUAGCGCAGUGUGUAAUCUGAUUGCUUGGUUCAGGUACACCUAGCAAAUGUAUACAUUGACGAGGAGUGGCACCUGCUCUAGUGCCAUGGCUAGGACUCCCUGUUCUGCAAAGAACUGGCGAAACUGGUGUGCGGAGUUCUGGCACUCAGGAUAGGAGCAUCACAGGGGCUCUUUGGUGGUGCUUCCUGAACGGCCGCAAUUUCAUUGAGAAGCCGGCAUUGAGCCUCCAUAAAUUGGAAGCUGUGGACAGUAUCAUCGACAUUGUUUCAAAUUUGUUUGUGUAAUGUUUGUAACAAUACAUGUAUUACAGUGAAAUGAUUAAUUUUCCAGAUGCACUUGAUGCAUAUCUUUCGAGAUGUGGUGCCCCUGAGGAGGAGAAAUCGCGGUGCUCAAAAUGGACCGUAGCCUAGCAGACAUGCUGAGAGAAAUUAAGUAAGCGUGUAAUUGCAAACAUGUGUACAUGCAGUAAACCUCAUUAAUUUGAACUCGUGGGGGCCAUGCGAAAUGUCAGGACUAAGCAAACUCAACCAAAAUGGUUUAAAAUAUAUAUUUAUGUUUCGGCUUCCCACGGGAGCCUUGUUCACAAUGAAACCAGCAGCAGAGUAGGUAACGUUCUUAUCUGCAGCUCAAAACAUAUAAUGUACUUGGCAUACAUGGACAUGGAUGAUUAGAGAUUCAAGAUAGACGCGUAAAAUGAUUUCAUUCCUUAACAAUCAAGCGAUAUUUUUCCUAGCUAAUUGUGACGUAGUUGCGCAGUGCUUGGCCAGGGCAUUCGAUGCAAAGUAUCGUUUCUGGACAUCAUUCCUGUGCUGUUUAAGUCUUUUUUUGGAGUUGCCGGUUUCUCCGAUGUAGACGUACCGACAGUUCGCACACCGAAGGACCUACACUACGCCUGGGAACUUGCCCUUUUCCGAACGGUCUUUCACAUGCAUGAGCUCGUGUUUACGUUUUGGAACGUGCACAGCCUGCACAUCAUAUGACCACAACGCAUGCAAGGGUCUCGCUUAUGCAGGGGACCUAUGGUAUUGAAGCCCAUUUUUCGGGGGGUCCAGGGAGGGUGGGUACUGCGCGAGCCAGCUGACACCCUACUGUGUCAAUGGAGUACUCAGGGUAUCCACAAGCCAUCAAUUCCCACUGCACAAGUGAAUUGUCUGCCAUGUGGUCUUCUACUGUUGUGCACACAUUUUUCACCCAACGAAGGAGAGAGCAGACAACAGACCUCUUUUGCGAAGCAGGGUGCACCAAUGUGUAGUUGAGG
Molecule: non-coding RNA, 1682 nt
Organism: Dermacentor andersoni
Lineage: Eukaryota; Metazoa; Arthropoda; Arachnida; Ixodida; Ixodidae
Source: RefSeq, a predicted model, not a curated record